RNAcentral lists this ribosomal RNA (438 nucleotides) under uncultured bacterium. Its description in RNAcentral is "partial 16S ribosomal RNA". It matches the Rfam family "Bacterial small subunit ribosomal RNA", at positions 27 to 507 of the family's 1533-position model. The record is from RNAcentral.
GAGCGAACGCUGGCGGCAGGCUUAACACAUGCAAGUCGAGCGGGCAUCCUUGUGGUGUCAGCGGCAGACGGGUGAGUACCGCGUGGGAACGUGCCCUUCGGUUCGGAAUAACUCAGGGAAACUUGAGCUAAUACCGGAUACGUGCGAGAGCAGAAAGGUUUAUCUGCCGAAGGAUCGGCCCGCGUCUGAUUAGCUAGUUGGUGAGGUUACGGCUCACCAAGGCGACGAUCAGUAGCUGGUCUGAGAGGAUGAUCAGCCACACUGGGACUGAGACACGGCCCAGACUCCUACGGGAGGCAGCAGUGGGGAAUAUUGGACAAUGGGGGCAACCCUGAUCCAGCCAUGCCGCGUGAGUGAUGACGGCCUUAGGGUUGUAAAGCUCUUUUCUCCGGGACGAUAAUGACGGUACCGGAGGAAUAAGCCCCGGCUAACUUCGUG